AUUGAACGCUGGCGGCAUGCUUUACACAUGCAAGUCGAACGGCAGCGCGGGCUUCGGCCUGGCGGCGAGUGGCGAACGGGUGAGUAAUACAUCGGAACGUACCCAGUAGUGGGGGAUAGCUCGACUAAAGCCGGAUUAAUACCGCAUCCGACCUUAGGUUGAACGGGGGGGAUCUUCGGACCUCGCGCUAUUGGAUGGGCCGUUGGCAGGUUAGCUAGUUGGUGGGGUAAAGGCCUACCAAGGCGACGAUCUGUAGCUGGUCUGAGAGGACGACCAGCCACACUGGAACUGAGACACGGCCCAGACUCCUACGGGAGGCAGCAGUGGGGAAUUUUGGACAAUGGGCGAAAGCCUGAUCCAGCAAUGCCGCGUGUGUGAUGAAGGCCUUCGGGUUGUAAAGCACUUUUGGCGGGAACGAAAAGGACUGUGCCAAUACCACGGUUCGAUGACGGUACCCGCAGAAUAAGCACCGGCUAACUACGUG
Molecule: ribosomal RNA, 484 nt
Filed under: uncultured bacterium
Lineage: Bacteria
Description: partial 16S ribosomal RNA
Rfam family: Bacterial small subunit ribosomal RNA
Source: RNAcentral